This 274-nucleotide ribosomal RNA is filed under the name uncultured bacterium. RNAcentral describes it as "partial 16S ribosomal RNA". It matches the Rfam family "Bacterial small subunit ribosomal RNA", at positions 523 to 796 of the family's 1533-position model. The record is from RNAcentral.
AUACAGAGGGUGCAAGCGUUAUUCGGAAUUACUGGGCGUAAAGCGCGCGUAGGCGGAUGAUUAAGUCAGUUGUGAAAGCCCUGGGCUCAACCUAGGAACUGCAUCUGAUACUGGUCAUCUAGAGUUUAAGAGAGGGAAGUGGAAUUCCAGGUGUAGCAGUGAAAUGCGUAGAUAUCUGGAGGAACAUCAGUGGCGAGGGCGACUUCCUGGCUUAGAACUGACGCUGAGGUGCGAAAGCGUGGGUAGCGAACGGGAUUAGAAACCCUAGUAGUCC